CUGGACGGCCAUAGCAGUCCGGAAACACCUGAUCCCAUUCCGAACUCAGAAGUUAAGCGGGCUGUGUUCGUGCCGGUACUGUCAUACGAUGGGAAAGCACGAAGCUGUCUACU
RNAcentral lists this ribosomal RNA (113 nucleotides) under Candidatus Pacearchaeota archaeon. Lineage: Archaea; Nanobdellati. The record is from RNAcentral.